AACUGAAACAUCUAAGUACCCCGAGGAAAAGAAAUCAACCGAGAUUCCCCCAGUAGCGGCGAGCGAACGGGGAGCAGCCCAGAGCCUGAAUCAGUGUGUGUGUUAGUGGAAGCGUCUGGAAAGGCGCGCGAUACAGGGUGACAGCCCCGUACACAAAAAUGCACAUGCUGUGAGCUCGAUGAGUAGGGCGGGACACGUGGUAUCCUGUCUGAAUAUGGGGGGACCAUCCUCCAAGGCUAAAUACUCCUGACUGACCGAUAGUGAACCAGUACCGUGAGGGAAAGGCGAAAAGAACCCCGGCGAGGGGAGUGAAAAAGAACCUGAAACCGUGU
This 332-nucleotide ribosomal RNA is filed under the name Escherichia coli. RNAcentral describes it as "partial 23S ribosomal RNA". It matches the Rfam family "Bacterial large subunit ribosomal RNA", at positions 191 to 561 of the family's 2925-position model. The record is from RNAcentral. Lineage: Bacteria; Pseudomonadati; Pseudomonadota; Gammaproteobacteria; Enterobacterales; Enterobacteriaceae.